RNAcentral lists this ribosomal RNA (378 nucleotides) under uncultured bacterium. Its description in RNAcentral is "bacterial SSU rRNA". It matches the Rfam family "Bacterial small subunit ribosomal RNA", at positions 524 to 898 of the family's 1533-position model. The record is from RNAcentral.
UACGGAGGGUGCGAGCGUUGUUCGGAAUUACUGGGCGUAAAGGGUUCGUAGGCGGGAAGGCAAGUUGAGUGUGAAAACCCUGGGCUUAACCCGGGACGUGCACUCAAAACUGUUUUUCUUGAGUAUCGGAGAGGGUGGUGGAAUUGCUGGUGUAGGAGUGACAUCCGUAGAGAUCAGCAGGAACACCGGAGGCGAAAGCGACCGCCUGGCCGAAUACUGACGCUGAGGAACGAAAGCGUGGGGAGCAAACAGGAUUAGAUACCCUGGUAGUCCACGCGGUAAACGAUGAUAACUAGAUGUUGGUCAGAGUUCAAUCUGAGCAGUAUCGUAGCUUACGCGCUAAGUUAUCCGCCUGGGGAGUACGGCCGCAAGGCUAAA